AUCUGAUGGCUGAUGUAGAAUCCUACAUGUUUGGGACUCAGUGAUCGAGAAUCAGGAUUCUCUGAUCACGAGUUUCACACAUUAUGGGUACCGGGGUCAAGAGUCCCACUAGUUGGGAUUUUUCGAUCAGGUUUACAUAUCGAUGAAUUCUGAUGCCUGAUUGUCCAUCGGAUUUGGACUCAGUAUUUAUGAGAGAUUUAAUUAGUGAUUUGAUCACUAAUUAACUCAAUUUGAUUGAGUAAUUAUUUUUGGAUCAAGUCCAAAUGAAUUGGAUUCAGUUGGGUUUGACCCGAUUAGGUUAAGAGUUGACCUAAUCAUCGAGAUGGUUUGGUCCCUGAUUUGAUCAGGG
This 349-nucleotide long non-coding RNA is filed under the name Elaeis guineensis (African oil palm). RNAcentral describes it as "long non-coding RNA (EGUI_LNC043050)". Lineage: Eukaryota; Viridiplantae; Streptophyta; Magnoliopsida; Arecales; Arecaceae. The record is from RNAcentral.